RNAcentral lists this ribosomal RNA (481 nucleotides) under Axinella sp. 2 TF-2017. RNAcentral's name for it is "partial 18S ribosomal RNA". It matches the Rfam family "Eukaryotic small subunit ribosomal RNA", at positions 433 to 931 of the family's 1831-position model. The record is from RNAcentral. Lineage: Eukaryota; Metazoa; Porifera; Demospongiae; Axinellida; Axinellidae.
GGCGCGCAAAUUACCCAAUCCCGACUCGGGGNGNUANNGNCANUAAAUAACAAUGCCGGGNUAUCGUAGUCUGGCAAUUGGAAUGAGUACAACCUAAACCCCUUAACGAGGAACAAUUGGAGGGCAAGUCUGGUGCCASCAGCCGCGGUAAUUCCAGCUCCAAUAGCGUAUAUUAAAGUUGUUGCAGUUAAAAAGCUCGUAGUUGGAUUUCGGGGCAGUCCGUCUGGUCCGCCGCGAGGCGAGCACUGGUCGGGCGCCCUUCCUCUCGGAGGCCCCGACUGCUCUUGGUUGCAGUGGUCGGGGAGUUCGGGACGUUUACUUUGAAAAAAUUAGAGUGUUCAAGGCAGGCCGCCGCCUGAAUACAUUAGCAUGGAAUAAUGGAAGAGGACCUCGGUCCUAUUUUGUUGGUUUCCAGGGCCGAAGUAAUGAUUAAGAGGGACAGUUGGGGGCAUUCGUAUUUAANNGUCAGAGGUGAAAUUCU